UACGUAGGUGGCAAGCGUUGUCCGGAAUUAUUGGGCGUAAAGCGCGCGCAGGUGGUUUCUUAAGUCUGAUGUGAAAGCCCACGGCUCAACCGUGGAGGGUCAUUGGAAACUGGGGAACUUGAGUGCAGAAGAGGAUAGUGGAAUUCCAAGUGUAGCGGUGAAAUGCGUAGAGAUUUGGAGGAACACCAGUGGCGAAGGCGACUGUCUGGUCUGUAACUGACACUGAGGCGCGAAAGCGUGGGGAGCAAACAGG
This 253-nucleotide ribosomal RNA is filed under the name uncultured microorganism. RNAcentral's name for it is "partial 16S ribosomal RNA". It matches the Rfam family "Bacterial small subunit ribosomal RNA", at positions 524 to 776 of the family's 1533-position model. The record is from RNAcentral.